Molecule: long non-coding RNA, 1298 nt
Organism: Triticum dicoccoides
Lineage: Eukaryota; Viridiplantae; Streptophyta; Magnoliopsida; Poales; Poaceae
Exons: 4
Source: RefSeq, a predicted model, not a curated record
CCGCCACUCCACCGAUGCUCCUCGUGCCGCUCCACGCCGACACCGACGGUGCCAGCGAUGAACCAUCCCGCUCCAGGGCCCUCCCCGUCUAUCCCUUGUCAGAUCCCUCCCCAUCUGCCCCACGCCAUGCCCCUCCCCAUUCAGUUCCCCCCUCAAGCUACGGCGGCCCAGUCCUACGGUCCUGCCCCUCGAGCUGAGGCGACAGUGGUGGUGGCGGGACAGACAACCGGCGGCGGGAACAUAUCCAGCUCCAUCUGACGGGGAGCCAAGGUGAGAUCCAGGAGGCGAUGACACCGCCACAGACCCAGAGUACAAGGGUGCCCCUUGCAGCUGGCCCCAAAUGUCCGCCAGCUGCUCCACACCGUCAGUACCCUGGUCGCGGCCGUCUUCUCCAUCCGUGAGGAUUUGGUAAACGAGAACAAGCAAUUUGAUCCUGUAAUUUCUUGAGUCACUACAUCUCCCACUUGAUCGACGCCGAUGCCACGGUCCUCAAGCAGAACAUGCAGAGGUGAUGGACUGUGUACUACUGUAUUUUCGGAAAUGCGUGUACACAGAAUUGGAUUCUGAAGUAGCGAUGGAGGUGAAGAUUGUGUGCUUUUAUGCAAGAUUACUACUAGUAGAUGGUAUAGUGUUUUUGCUUCGGAUUUAGGAGUGUUUGAUCGGCUACAUAGUGAAUUUGUUCAGUCUCAAAUUUUCAGUGUUAUUACUAGCAUAUUCUCCAAUUCUUGGUAUUAUUCAACAUCAGCUCUGUCUCAAUUCUUUAUCACAUCUCAUAUUGAAGUGUGGAUCAUUUAAUUGCCUAAAAUGGUCUUGCCUUUUGAGUGUUUUUAUUUUACAUUGCAUGCAAAAGGAAGUUUAUUGAGAGAAAUUAGCUUUAAUUGAUGAAGAAAGUAUGCCUCUAGUAUUACUUUUUUCAUGUUUUAUUAACUAUGAACUACAUUGUACUGUAUGGAAUCAUCUAUUUUGAUAUACAAGCCCUGUCACACGCAUAUAAACUUGAUUUUGUUGUUGUACUUGAUGAAUAUGGAAUGAUGUGUCCUUCCUUUGUUCCUAAUAUUAUAACUUUUUGGAUUCAUUUGGGAGCUAGCUUUUAUAACUUACUACAAUUUUGUAUGUGUUUUUAUUCUAUGUAGGUUUGGCAGUUAAUCCGUGUUAUUGGAGAUUGAAGAAUAUUAACAAGAAUUAUUUGUGUCCGACUAGCUGCCUUGAAGCAGUGGUGUAGUGUUGGAGAUUAAAAUGAGCUAGUAGUACAUUUUCUUUGAGGUCAUGUUACUUGAUUUUUGUAAAAAAAAUGCAUA